RNAcentral lists this ribosomal RNA (253 nucleotides) under uncultured bacterium. Its description in RNAcentral is "partial 16S ribosomal RNA". It matches the Rfam family "Bacterial small subunit ribosomal RNA", at positions 524 to 776 of the family's 1533-position model. The record is from RNAcentral.
UACGUAGGGGGCAAGCGUUAUCCGGAUUUACUGGGUGUAAAGGGAGCGUAGACGGCAAUGCAAGUCUGGAGUGAAAGGCGGGGGCCCAACCCCCGGACUGCUCUGGAAACUGUAUAGCUGGAGUGCAGGAGAGGUAAGUGGAAUUCCUAGUGUAGCGGUGAAAUGCGUAGAUAUUAGGAGGAACACCAGUGGCGAAGGCGGCUUACUGGACUGUAACUGACGUUGGGGCUCGAAAGCGUGGGGAGCAAACAGG